RNAcentral lists this long non-coding RNA (1252 nucleotides) under Equus caballus (horse). RNAcentral's name for it is "lncRNA (ENSECAG00000035277.3)". The record is from RNAcentral. Lineage: Eukaryota; Metazoa; Chordata; Mammalia; Perissodactyla; Equidae.
AGGGGCAGCAUGUUAAACUCUUAUGACACCUCUUAGAGGAGAAAUGACUGGUCACGGUGAGGGUCAAGCAUCAGUCCAGUUGUGACAUCUCUGUGAGUGGACAUAUCACUCUAACUUAGAUGUGCCGCAACUCUUGGUACUCUGGGUGCCCCCAGUUUAAGAUUCAAACUGUCUUAAUAGAGAGGACAAGACCCAUAGGUACUAAUAUGGAGUGUGAUUCUCAGCAUUCAUCCCAAAAGAGCCAAGCCAUCAAGAAAACCUGUUCUGCCUUUGCAAAUUAAAUGGAAUACUUAAGAGUUCACAUGAAGAAAAUACAAAACAUGUAAACAGCUCUUUGAGGUUUAACAAGCUGAAGACUUAGCUGAAUGUUUUCUGCAACUUGACAAUCAGAAGUGACAUCCACACAAUAGAAUGUCCUUCUUCUUAGCAGAUCCAUUGUUUCUCUGCUAAUAAAUGCAAGCGUCACAUGAAAUCCACUUCUCGUUUCAUUUUCUGCAGCAUAACGUAGAGCUAAACAACCAGCACUCCAGCAGACCUCCACCAUGCUCCCACACGACGCGUAAAGUCUCUACAACAGGAUAUGCCUGCACUUACUGAGUCCCUUUUCUUGCUAGGAGGACAGCAGAGAGAAGAGUCUCUUUUAGACAGCCAUCACUAGUCCCUCAGUCAUCCAUCAAGUGUCUAUGCGCUGGCACCUGAGAGCCCUCCUGGAUGGGCCUGCCCUCACCCGCAGCGGCAGACACAGUCUGGCCGCACUAAUCCAGAAAAACUGCAUGCCUGCAGGAACGUCAGGUCCAGAGACGACAGGGAGUAGGAACUAAGUCAGGACAGAAUGUCACGAUCACCUUUUACCAGCCCCUGUGCCUCUGUGUGCCCAGGCCUUGCACUCGCACAGUCCAGCCGGCUCCCUCGGGCCACAGCAGGUGUGAGCAGCACUGUGUGCUGCAGGAGGCAGAGAGAAAACGGAGGGACACCCCUGACCUGGGAGUGUGCCAUCAGGUGGGGACGCAGGGCACAGUAUUAGGGAAACAGCCUGAGGACUUGGAAGGCAAACUAGCAAGAGGUCCAGGGCUCUGGAGCCAGACUCUCUGGGUCCAGGUCCUGCCUGUGUGUGAUAAUUGUGUGACCUUGGGGAAGUCGCAUACCCUCCCAUCCCUAAAACCUCAUGGGGUUGUUACAAGGACUGAAAAUCAGAACAUGCACAAUGUUUUGUACCCGCUCGAUUAAAAACUCUUUGAAAAGCUUAACCAGC